Oncorhynchus gorbuscha (pink salmon) is the source of this 1425-nucleotide long non-coding RNA. RefSeq lists it as uncharacterized. The record is from RefSeq and is a predicted model, not a curated record. Lineage: Eukaryota; Metazoa; Chordata; Actinopteri; Salmoniformes; Salmonidae. The transcript is spliced from 5 exons.
GGUAAACCUACAGAAAGGUAGUGCUCCAGGAACAAUUUUGGAGAGCCCUGGGCUACAGUGACAGGCAUAACGCAUCAAACUAACGGAGGGAUUUGGAUAUAAAAUCUUUAUGGAACAAAAGGAACAUUUGCUGUCUAACUGGGAGUCUCGUGAGUUAAAACAUCCGAAGCUCAUCAAAGGAAUAUGUUUUGACUGUGCUAUUCAGCGUUGCUGAUGACAAAUAUACCAGAUCCGGGAUGGGUAGUUCUAAGAUAAGAGGCUCUUGCAGGCAUUCUCUGACCCAAUGACUGAGAUCAACCUGCUCUUUUACCAAGCUACGCUCCCAGCCUUCUCCUGCUUCAACCUCCGACUCCAGAGAGAGCUGUCCUCCACCUUUCUACUACAUGAGGUAAAAUGAGAUGGUGGUAUACUUCUGGCAAGUUCCAUUAAUGUUUAAUAUUGUUUCUUUAUUAUUCUACAUUCAACACUACAUCUUAGGCCAUGUUAUAUUUAACUUAGAAAAUCUGAAUUAAAUGUACAUUUUGUUUAUCCCUUCUAAAAUAUCAUGUAGAUGACAAACUUGCUCAAAGUUUGUGAAGCUUGUUGAUUUUCAGAACCGAGAGCCACAGGAAAUCCUUUGCAAGGAAAAGUCAAACCAACUGUCUGAUAAUGGUUAAUAGGUGGAAUUACACAAGCUGAUUUUGAAUCAUUAGAUUUAAUACUGUCUGCAGAUUCAGUGAAAUAAAAACAUUAAUGUCUGUCGGGCAGUAGCAAAGCUGAAUGUUGGUUUUACAAUAAGAGCCAAGCUCAGCAGGCUUCUCGAGGCUGGAGACAUCAUACGACGGACAGUGGAUACAUUUCACCAGGCUGCGGUUUCAUUUCUGGAGGGGGCUGUCGACCAUACAAAUAAAAUAAAUGACCACUGCCAGAGCCAGUGGACAGAGCCAGUGCUGAAACCAGAUUUGUGGACGUCCGGCAGAGGUCAGAGUGUGCUGUUGAAGACACCUUGUACUUUGUGGACAGUUCCUGGAUUAUCAGCUCAUGGAUGAUCCUUAAAAUCCAGCCACAGAGGACAUUAAGAGCUUUUGGGGACAUCUGGUCUCAUUGAAGCAUAAGGUGACAGAGAUGAACAGAUUUGGGUGACUCUCAAACAUUGCCAAGAUGGUCUUGAUUCUUCCUCACUCAGAUACGGAUGCUGAUCAUGUUUUCUGGGUGGUGGGGCUCAACAAAACCAAAAUGAGAAACAGUUUGGCCUGUGAUGGAACCCGGUCUUCCAUUAUGACAGUGAAAAUGGUUGGCUUUGAACCAGCCUGCUACAUGUGGGAGCCCCCCCACCCCUGUCAUCAAGAUAUCAAAAACGGCAACAAGCACUUACAACAAAGAACACAGUCAUUAAAAGGGGGGAGGGGGCUGGAGAGGUGGAGGGAUGAAGGUGGAGAAAGGGAG